Molecule: ribosomal RNA, 390 nt
Filed under: uncultured bacterium
Lineage: Bacteria
Description: bacterial SSU rRNA
Rfam family: Bacterial small subunit ribosomal RNA
Source: RNAcentral
GACGAACGCUGGCGGCGUGCUUAACACAUGCAAGUCGAACGGAAAGGCCCUGCUUUUGUGGGGUGCUCGAGUGGCGAACGGGUGAGUAACACGUGAGUAACCUGCCCUUGACUUUGGGAUAACUUCAGGAAACUGGGGCUAAUACCGGAUAGGAGCUCCUGCUGCAUGGUGGGGGUUGGAAAGUUUCGGCGGUUGGGGAUGGACUCGCGGCUUAUCAGCUUGUUGGUGGGGUAGUGGCUUACCAAGGCUUUGACGGGUAGCCGGCCUGAGAGGGUGACCGGCCACAUUGGGACUGAGAUACGGCCCAGACUCCUACGGGAGGCAGCAGUGGGGAAUAUUGCACAAUGGGCGGAAGCCUGAUGCAGCAACGCCGCGUGCGGGACGACGGCC